This 864-nucleotide ribosomal RNA is filed under the name uncultured bacterium. RNAcentral describes it as "bacterial SSU rRNA". It matches the Rfam family "Bacterial small subunit ribosomal RNA", at positions 9 to 873 of the family's 1533-position model. The record is from RNAcentral.
GAGUUUGAUCCUGGCUCAGAGCGAACGUUUGCGGCGGGCCUAACACAUGCAAGUCGAACGGGCUAGCAAUAGUCAGUGGCGCACGGGUGCGUAACACGUGGGUAAUCAACCCUUCAGCUUGGGAUAACGCCUUGAAAGGGGCGCUAAUACCGGAUACGGCGCGAGAAUCUUCGGAUUCUCACGAGAAAGGUUCGCAAGGACCACUGAAGGACGAGCCUGCGGCCCAUCAGCUAGUUGGUGAGGUAAGAGCUCACCAAGGCGAAGACGGGUAGCUGGUCUGAGAGGAUGAUCAGCCACACUGGAACUGAGACACGGUCCAGACUCCUACGGGAGGCAGCAGUGGGGAAUAUUGCGCAAUGGGCGAAAGCCUGACGCAGCCACGCCGCGUGAGCGAUGAAGGCCUUCGGGUCGUAAAGCUCUGUGGGGAGAGACGAAGAAAGCCCGUGAAGAGCGGGCCUUGACGGUAUCUCCUUAGCAAGCACCGGCUAACUCCGUGCCAGCAGCCGCGGUAAUACGGAGGGUGCAAACGUUGCUCGGAAUCAUUGGGCGUAAAGCGCACGUAGGCGGCUAGAUAAGUCGGGUGUGAAAGCCCUGGGCUCAACCCAGGAAGUGCAUUCGAAACUGUCUAGCUUGAAUCUCGGAGGGGGUCAGAGAAUUCCCGGUGUAGAGGUGAAAUUCGUAGAUAUCGGGAGGAAUACCAGUGGCGAAGGCGCUGACCUGGACGAAGAUUGACGCUGAGGUGCGAAAGCGCGGGGAGCAAACAGGAUUAGAUACCCUGGUAGUCCGCGCUGUAAACGAUGAGUGCUAGACGGUGGAGGUAUUGACCCCUUCCCUGUCGCAGCUAACGCGGUUAAGCACUCCGCC